CCUACGGGAGGCAGCAGUGGGGAAUAUUGCGCAAUGGGCGAAAGCCUGACGCAGCGACGCCGCGUGAGGGAUGAAGGUCUUCGGAUCGUAAACCUCUGUCAGCAGGGAAGAACGGUCACUGUGCUAAUCAGCAGUGACUUGACGGUACCUGCAAAGGAAGCACCGGCUAACUCCGUGCCAGCAGCCGCGGUAAUACGGUGGGUGCGAGAGUUAAUCGGAAUUACUGGGCGUAAAGCGCUCGUAGGCGGUAUGGCAAGUCAAGGGUGGAAUCCCGGCGCUCAACGUGGGAACUGCCUUUGAAACUGUCAAACUUGAGUGUGUGAGAGGUUAGUGGAAUUCCAGGUGUAGGAGUGAAAUCCGUAGAUAUCAGGAGGAACAUCAGUGGCGAAGGCGACUAUCUGGCACAUAACUGACGCUGAGGAGCGAAAGCGUGGGUAGCAAACAGGAUUAGAUACCCGUGUAGUC
RNAcentral lists this ribosomal RNA (465 nucleotides) under uncultured bacterium. RNAcentral's name for it is "partial 16S ribosomal RNA". It matches the Rfam family "Bacterial small subunit ribosomal RNA", at positions 338 to 795 of the family's 1533-position model. The record is from RNAcentral.